Molecule: long non-coding RNA, 2177 nt
Filed under: Olea europaea subsp. europaea
Lineage: Eukaryota; Viridiplantae; Streptophyta; Magnoliopsida; Lamiales; Oleaceae
Source: RNAcentral
AAGGUUUUGACAUUGGUGCAAGUGGUGAGCAGGAAAGUGUAAGGGAUGUGCAAGAAGGGGAGGCAGCUGCUGGGGAAGAAUCUGGAAUAGAAUACGAAGACUCCAGUGAGCUUAGAAGCUUACCCAGCGAUAUCGAGGCUGAGGGAUCAUCUGCCAGAAGGAAGAAUGUGUGGUGGUUUAACCCUGCAACUGAUAUGGAAGAUCCACAGUUCAAGCUAGGUAAUGUCCACUGUUCUGUGUAAUUCAGUUCUGGUUUAAUUCAUUUGGAUGAUAAUGAAUUCUGGUUUAAUUCAUUUCUGUCAGGGAUGAAAUUCGACAACGUCAAGAUUCUAAGGAAUGCAGUAGUUCAAUACUCAGUCAAAAAUUCCAGGCAACUGAGAUACGUGAAAAAUAUGAGGACACAGUUGAGAGUUCGGUGUCAAGAUAAUUGUCCUUGGGUUUUGUAUGCGUACCAACAACCCGACAAAAGUCUUAGAAUUAACACAUUUAUAGAUGAGCACACAUGUACCAUGGUGUUGCAAAAUAGAAGGGUUAAUUCAGGUUUUCUGGUAAAGAAGUACGUGAGAAAAUUUAGGUCUGAUUCAAACAUUCCAAUGAGUAGUUUUAUGGAGACUGUGAAAGAGGACUGCAUGUAUGAGAUUUCAAAGCAUCAGUUCUACAGGACAAGAUCGAAAUGUGCAGAAAUUAUUAAUGGGAUUGUAGCUGAGCAGCACAAAAUUUUAUGGGAUUACGGUGAGGAAUUGAAGAAAACAAAUCCAGGUAGUAUAGUCCAAAUCGAAGGUUCGGGACAUACUUUUAAGAGAUUGUACAUCUGCAUAGGGGCUUGUAAGGAAGGGUUUAAGGCUGGGUGCAGGCCAGUUGUUUGGUUGGAUGGAUGCUUCCUAAAAUCUGCAGAUGGUGGACAGUUGUUGGCAGCUGUUGGCAUUGAUGGUGAGAAUUGUAUGUUCUCAUUAGCAUGGGCAGUUGUGGAUGCAGAGAACAAAACAAACUGGCAAUGGUUCAUAGAAUUGUUGGUUGGUGACAUAGGGAUGCACAACCCUCGAGCUUGGACAUUCAUUUCCGACAAACAAAAGGGUUUGGUGGAUUCAAUAAGUCAAUACUGUGAAGGAGCGGAGCAUAGGUGUUGUGCUAGACAUCUUUAUAGCAAUUUCACCUUAGCACACAAAGGUCUGGCACUUAAGAACCUAUUUUGGACUGCAGCAAGGGCAACAACAGUGCCCGAGUGGAAGAGUGCAAUGAAUGAGUUAAAAGACAUAAGUGAAGAGGCUUACAACUGGUUCCUUGAAAAACCUCCUUCCCAGUGGACCAGAUCCCAUUUUGAAGAGCAUUCAAGAUGUGAUAUUCUUCUUAAUAAUUUGUGUGAGGCAUUCAACUCUUCCAUUGUUGUUGCCAGAGACAGGCCCAUCAUCUCCAUGCUAGAGAAAAUUCGGCAUCAGCAAAUGAUAAGGAUGAAUGCAAAAAGGGAAGCGGCAGAGAGGUAGGAUCAUGCAUUCGGGCCAAGAAUUGUGAUAAUCAUUGAGAAGGCUAAGUCUGAGGCAAGGUACUUGAAGGCAGACUAUGCAGGCAACCAGAAAUUUGAGAUAAGCAGUAGAGACGAUUUGAGGUGGAGCGUUGACUUGACAGAACAUGCAUGUGCUUGCAGAAAAUGGUAGCUCACUGGAAUACCAUGUCCCCAUGCAAUAUCAAGCAUGCUUUCAAGGGAUAUUGGCAUAUAUGAAUACAUCGACCUAUGGUAUAGCAAGGAGACAUACCUGAAAUGUUACUUCCCAGUGAUCCACCCGAUGUCAGGGCCUGAACUGUGGCCAGAAUUGGGAAAGCAUCCUCUCACUCAACCUCAGAAGAGAAAACAGGCUGGCAGACCCAAAAAAUUGAGGAAGAGGUCACAGGCAGAGCCACCUACAGGCGUGAAGAUGGGAAGGACUGGCAUGAAGAUGACGUGUAAGCGCUGUGGAGGGUCUGGACAUAACAAAAGAAGCUGUAAGGAGGCACUGCCUGGUGAAGAUAGUUCACAGUAACAGUCUCAACCAACCACACAAGAAGAUACACAUACCAGAUCAAUAAAGGGGAAGAGAAAAGCACAUUCAACACAAACCUCCAAGUCACAGACAAAGAAGUCCAAGUAUAGAGGAUCGCAAUCUUGAACAUCAUGCGGUUUCUCUUGUAUAGUUACCUUUUUG